GAUGAACGCUGGCGGCGUGCCUAAUACAUGCCUGUCGAGCGAACGGACGAGAAGCUUGCUUCUCUGAUGUUAGCGGCGGACGGGUGAGUAACACGUGGAUAACCUACCUAUAAGACUGGGAUAACUUCGGGAAACCGGAGCUAAUACCGGAUAAUAUUUUGAACCGCAUGGUUCAAAAGUGAAAGACGGUCUUGCUGUCACUUAUAGAUGGAUCCGCGCUGCAUUAGCUAGUUGGUACGGUAACGGCUUACCAAGGCAACGAUGCAUAGCCGACCUGAGAGGGUGAUCGGCCACACUGGAACUGAGACACGGUCCAGACUCCUACGGGAGGCAGCAGUAGGGAAUCUUCCGCAAUGGGCGAAAGCCUGACGGAGCAACGCCGCGUGAGUGAUGAAGGUCUUCGGAUCGUAAAACUCUGUUAUUAGGGAAGAACAUAUGUGUAAGUAACUGUGCACAUCUUGACGGUACCUAAUCAGAAAGCCACGGCUAACUACGUGCCAGCAGCCGCGGUAAUACGUAGGUGGCAAGCGUUAUCCGGAAUUAUUGGGCGUAAAGCGCGCGUAGGCGGUUUUUUAAGUCUGAUGUGAAAGCCCACGGCUCAACCGUGGAGGGUCAUUGGAAACUGGAAAACUUGAGUGCAGAAGAGGAAAGUGGAAUUCCAUGUGUAGCGGUGAAAUGCGCAGAGAUAUGGAGGAACACCAGUGGCGAAGGCGACUUUCAGGUCUGUAACUGACGCUGAUGUGCGAAAGCGUGGGGAUCAAACAGGAUUAGAUACCCUGGUAGUCCACGCCGUAAACGAUGAGUGCUAAGUGUUAGGGGGUUUCCGCCCCUUAGUGCUGCAGCUAACGCAUUAAGCACUCCGCCUGGGGAGUACGACCGCAAGGUUGAAACUCAAAGGAAUUGACGGGGACCCGCACAAGCGGUGGAGCAUGUGGUUUAAUUCGAAGCAACGCGAAGAACCUUACCAAAUCUUGACAUCCUUUGACAACUCUAGAGAUAGAGCCUUCCUCUUCGGGGGACAAAGUGACAGGUGGUGCAUGGUUGUCGUCAGCUCGUGUCGUGAGAUGUUGGGUUAAGUCCCGCAACGAGCGCAACCCUUAAGCUUAGUUGCCAUCAUUAAGUUGGGCACUCUAAGUUGACUGCCGGUGACAAACCGGAGGAAGGUGGGGAUGACGUCAAAUCAUCAUGCCCCUUAUGAUUUGGGCUACACACGUGCUACAAUGGACAAUACAAAGGGCAGCGAAACCGCGAGGUCAAGCAAAUCCCAUAAAGUUGUUCUCAGUUCGGAUUGUAGUCUGCAACUCGACUACAUGAAGCUGGAAUCGCUAGUAAUCGUAGAUCAGCAUGCUACGGUGAAUACGUUCCCGGGUCU
RNAcentral lists this ribosomal RNA (1372 nucleotides) under uncultured bacterium. RNAcentral's name for it is "bacterial SSU rRNA". It matches the Rfam family "Bacterial small subunit ribosomal RNA", at positions 28 to 1381 of the family's 1533-position model. The record is from RNAcentral.